RNAcentral lists this ribosomal RNA (459 nucleotides) under uncultured bacterium. Its description in RNAcentral is "partial 16S ribosomal RNA". It matches the Rfam family "Bacterial small subunit ribosomal RNA", at positions 338 to 795 of the family's 1533-position model. The record is from RNAcentral.
CCUACGGGAGUCAGCAGUGAGGAAUAUUGGUCAAUGGGCGCGAGCCUGAACCAGCCAAGUCGCGUGAGGGAAGACGGUCCUAUGGAUUGUAAACCUCUUUUGUCGGGGAGCAAAAGACGCCACGCGUGGCGUUCCGAGAGUACCCGAAGAAAAAGCAUCGGCUAACUCCGUGCCAGCAGCCGCGGUAAUACUGGGGAUGCGAGCGUUAUCCGGAUUUAUUGGGUUUCAGGGGUGCGCAGGCGGAGGAUCAAGUUAGCGGUAAAAUUUAGAGGCCCAACCUCUUCGAGCCGUUGAAACGGGUUUUCUUGAGUGAGCGAGAAGUAGGCGGAAGGCGUGGUGUAGCGGUGAAAUGCAUAGAUAUCACGCAGAACUCCGAUUGCGAAGGCAGCAUACCGGCGCUCAACUGACGCUCAUGCACGAAAGUGUGGGUAUCGAACAGGAUUAGAUACCCCUGUAGUC